GACGAACGCUGGCGGCGUGCUUAACACAUGCAAGUCGAACGGUAAGGCCCUUUCGGGGGUACACGAGUGGCGAACGGGUGAGUAACACGUGGGUGAUCUGCCCUGCACUUUGGGAUAAGCCUGGGAAACUGGGUCUAAUACCGGAUAGGACUACGCGAUGCAUGUCGUGUGGUGGAAAGCUUUUGCGGUGUGGGAUGGGCCCGCGGCCUAUCAGCUUGUUGGUGGGGUGAUGGCCUACCAAGGCGACGACGGGUAGCCGGCCUGAGAGGGUGUCCGGCCAAACUGGGCAAGGGGUAGGACCCAGAGGCCACCGGGAGGCAGGAGGGGGGAGUAGUGCGAAAUGUGCGCAAGGCGGAUGCAGCGACGCCGCGUGGGGGAUGACGGCCUUCGGGUGGUAAACCCCUUUCAGCAAAGACGGAGCGUAAGUGACGGUAUGUGCAGAAGAAGCAACGGCCAACUACGU
Molecule: ribosomal RNA, 463 nt
Filed under: uncultured bacterium
Lineage: Bacteria
Description: partial 16S ribosomal RNA
Rfam family: Bacterial small subunit ribosomal RNA
Source: RNAcentral